RNAcentral lists this unclassified non-coding RNA (376 nucleotides) under soil metagenome. RNAcentral's name for it is "partial contains 5.8S ribosomal RNA, internal transcribed spacer 2, and large subunit ribosomal RNA". The stretch from base 1 to 120 matches the Rfam family "5.8S ribosomal RNA", at positions 35 to 154 of the family's 154-position model. The record is from RNAcentral.
GAUGAAGAACGCAGCGAAAUGCGAUAAGUAAUGUGAAUUGCAGAAUUCAGUGAAUCAUCGAAUCUUUGAACGCAUCUUGCGCUCCUUGGUAUUCUGAGGAGCAUGCCUGUUUGAGUGUCAUUAAAUUCUCAACUACACUGACUUUGAAUUGGUGUGGCUUGGAUUUGGGGGGAAAAUUGUUGUGGGCUUUUUGUAUAGUCUGCUCCCCUGAAAUUGAUUAGCGGUACCUUUGUGGAACUGUCUACAGGUGUGAUAAUUAUCUACAUCUUAGACAUCUGCUGGAAUGCUGCUUUCUAAACCUUACUUGUAUUGACAAUCUUGACCUCAAAUCAGGUAGUACUACCCGCUGAACUUAAGCAUAUCAAUAAGCGGAGGA